Molecule: transfer RNA, 69 nt
Filed under: Rattus norvegicus (Norway rat)
Lineage: Eukaryota; Metazoa; Chordata; Mammalia; Rodentia; Muridae
Rfam family: tRNA
About the family: Transfer RNA (tRNA) molecules are approximately 80 nucleotides in length. Their secondary structure includes four short double-helical elements and three loops (D, anti-codon, and T loops).
Source: Rfam by way of RNAcentral
GGGGAUUUGGCUCAGCGGUAGAGCGCUUGCCUAGCAAGCGCAAGGCCCUGGGUUCGGUUCCCAGCUCCA